This 253-nucleotide ribosomal RNA is filed under the name uncultured prokaryote. RNAcentral describes it as "partial 16S ribosomal RNA". It matches the Rfam family "Bacterial small subunit ribosomal RNA", at positions 524 to 776 of the family's 1533-position model. The record is from RNAcentral.
UACGGAGGGUGCAAGCGUUAUCCGGAUUCACUGGGUUUAAAGGGUGCGUAGGUGGGUUGGUAAGUCAGUGGUGAAAUCUCUUUGCUUAACAAAGAAACUGCCAUUGAUACUGCAGGUCUAGAGUAUAGAUGACGUUGGCGGAAUAUGACAUGUAGUGGUGAAAUACUUAGAUAUGUCAUAGAACACCGAUUGCGAAGGCAGCUAACGAAACUAUAACUGACGCUGAGGCACGAAAGUGCGGGGAUCAAACAGG